ACCAGACGAUGCGGUUACCGCGGCUGCUGGCACGGAGUUAGCCGGUGCUUCUUCUGUGAGUGAUGUCCUUCCUGCCGGCUAUUAACCCGCAGGCCUUCUUCCUCACUGAAAGUGCUUUACAACCCGAAGGCCUUCUUCACACACGCGGCAUGGCUGGAUCAGGGUUGCCCCCAUUGUCCAAUAUUCCCCACUGCUGCCUCCCGUAGGAGUCUGGGCCGUGUCUCAGUCCCCAGUGUGGCUGAUCAUCCUCUCAGACCAGCUACGGAUCGUCGCCUUGGUGAGCCGUUACCUCACCAACCAGCUAAUCCGACAUAGGCUCAUCCGAUAGCGCGAGGCCCGAAGGUCCCCCGCUUUCCCCCGUAGGGCGUAUGCGGUAUU
This 378-nucleotide ribosomal RNA is filed under the name uncultured bacterium. RNAcentral describes it as "partial 16S ribosomal RNA". The record is from RNAcentral.